UUCUGUCUGUGAGAGCGUCAAUGCAGUCAGCACAGGAGAUCUUUCUUGUCACCAUCUUGACAACGUACCCCGCGAUGUACCCCACAACAUCUUCAACAAAGUACCAAAAUAGCGUGAUGCGUGAAUCUCAAGUUCGUCAAGGGAAGUAGCUGCUGCUGCUGCUGCGGCUGUCACACCAUGAAGUGUCCUGCCGUUGGAUUGUUGCACCACCCACCUUUACCCCUCAACGCACAGAAGAAAAGUUCGAGGUGGUCUUGAGAGAGUUUGUAUGUCAGCAGAUAUCUUAACAGUGCAUGAUCUCCCGAAAGAAGAUGGCUGCAUAGGCUUUGAAUGCUUGCCAUGUUGAUCAGGAACCCAAGGAAGCCUGUUUUUCGUGGGGAUUCUAAUAUUGGCUUUCCAGAUGCAUCUUUCAGGUUGCCAAUAUAUGCAGUCAUCUCGUUGAAGAAUGGAAUCCAAAGGUGGCGGGUUGGAUACCGGAUGGGUGCUUUGAAGUUCUUUGCCAGGGGAUUGCGGGAGUUCAUGAUGUCGAACAGACGAUCGAACUUCCUGAGGAAUUCCACUGUUGCCUCACAUCCACGAAACAUUGUAUUGUUUAUGUCCCUGUCACAGAACUCCAGAGCAUCCGCAACACUUGAGCUGAUUGUCUGAGCUGCCAAAUUCACCUUCAUCUUCUGACUUCCCCAGUCAAUGGUCCCCAUUGUUGCCAGGGCAUUACGAAUGAGCUUCAGCAUGUGGCAAGCAUCGAGGAUUACGUGAGCUCUCCAGGAAGAAUCAGAAGGGUGCUGAAACCAUGGCCUGAUGUCAGGGCUUUUCAUGUUUGCACCAAGGUCUUGAAACAUGGUGAGGUUAGAGCCCAGGCCAUCACUCACAACUGCAGCUAUUAGAAUUCCAAUGUCAUGUAGCUUUUGAAGGCAGAGGCUCACAAGGUUUGCCUUUUCCUCCCCACUUAGGCUGUUGAUGAGAAAGUAUGCACAUGGCACUUUCCAGUUACUGUCCAAAGCAACCACAAGGAAUACAAGAGCU
This is a long non-coding RNA of Ornithodoros turicata, 1023 nucleotides long. RefSeq lists it as uncharacterized. Lineage: Eukaryota; Metazoa; Arthropoda; Arachnida; Ixodida; Argasidae. The record is from RefSeq and is a predicted model, not a curated record. The transcript is spliced from 4 exons.